AAUAAAUUAAAUUCAUUUGAAGUAAAAUAAAUUCCAUUAUACUUUAAUUUAACCAUAUGAUCAACACUUGUACAUAGUGCCAUUUACUUUGUGUUCUUCACUCUCGCGCUGUGUUGUGAUCGUUCGAAACUCAUUGCCAGAACGAAUGCAAAUUUCAUUUGGGAAGGAUCGGUGCCGGAAGAUGCAGUGAAAAUUAUGAAAUGUUAAUAGAAAAGUGGUUAAGUAAAUCGUGAAAGAUGUCAACGCAGGCGUAAAUGCAGUUUGUUUUGUUACUUGAUCUACGGCAAUUUUAUUACCAAAGCACCUGAUAACCGAUCAAAGAAGGUGAAUCGGGCUUACAGAGUCGCCGUUUAACUUCAAAUAUCUUCGUGAUCGGUAAACGCAUCAAGUGUUUUUCUUCCAACAGCACGCGCCAUCGGUAGAGCAAGCAGCUAACGUUUCGUUCGUCUAGCACGCACCAUCAAGAAUUGAAAUAUUCCCGAAUAGCUCUGUGAAUAAAAACUGCACACUUACUGUCCGAAUUUCCUGGAAUUUUGUGAUCGGUCUACGCUCGCGGGAAUGGUGGGUCCGUUGAGGAGAAGGAAAGAAAGGGUGGGAGCGAGGAUUAACCAAAAACGCGGCACUGAGAAUGAGGGGAGGUGCGCUCAGCGCUCACGCUGGGACACUCACGAUGCUUGAAAUAAAAUGUUAACAAGCAUCGAUUUCAAGCAUGCAUGUCGCGCGACAUUUUGCCAAGC
Molecule: long non-coding RNA, 737 nt
Organism: Anopheles gambiae (African malaria mosquito)
Lineage: Eukaryota; Metazoa; Arthropoda; Insecta; Diptera; Culicidae
Exons: 3
Source: RefSeq, a predicted model, not a curated record